RNAcentral lists this unclassified non-coding RNA (202 nucleotides) under uncultured fungus. RNAcentral describes it as "sequence contains ITS1". The record is from RNAcentral. Lineage: Eukaryota; Fungi.
GUACGACAUGCGUUACGCGCAAGAGACAUUCGACGAGUGGGGUUUGUGUUUCUUCCGCGGGAGACCCAGGAGGUCCCCACGAUGAGGUUCACGGGGUACGUGGGCGGGGCGGGCGUGCACGCGCCUCGGGCGAGAGGCGCAGCGACAGCCCUUUUUCUCGUUCGGUUCGCUAAUGAUCCUUCCGCAGGUUCACCUACGGAAA